GUAAUGCGUUACGCUCCAUUUCAUCAUCCUAGAAGGAAAAGUUCGUUUGGUUUAUGUCCAGUUUGGUAUAAAUCCAAAGAUGUGGAACGGACUAAUGACAUAUACAGAGGUGCCCCCCCAGCAUUUGCAUGACAUUUUCGCAAACCUGUAAAAAAAAAAAAAAAAAAAAAAAAAAAAAAAAAA
Long non-coding RNA from Stegodyphus dumicola, 183 nucleotides. Lineage: Eukaryota; Metazoa; Arthropoda; Arachnida; Araneae; Eresidae. The record is from RefSeq and is a predicted model, not a curated record.